ACGUGUCCUACGGGGCGCUAGUACAGUGGCGCACGGGUGAGUAACGCGUAGGCAACCUGCCCUCGAGUGGGGAAUAACCUUCGGAAACGAUGGCUAAUACCGCAUGAAGUUCUGCACCGCAUGGUGCAGCAUGAAAGUUUUUAACGCUCGGGGAUGGGCCUGCGUCGGAUUAGUUAGUAGGUAAGGUAACGGCUUACCUAGACAACGAUCCGUAGCUGGUCUGAGAGGACGAUCAGUCACACUGGCACUGAGACACGGGCCAGACUUCUACGGAAGGCAGCAGUAGGGAAUCUUGGGCAAUGGGCGCAAGCCUGACCCAGCCACGCCGCGUGGAGGAUGACACCCUUAUGGGGCGUAAACUCCUUUUAUACGGAAAGAAAGCUUUCCUCGGGAAAGCCUGACGGUACCGUAUGAAUAAGCACCGGCUAACUCCGUGCCAGCAGCCGCGGUAAUACGGAGGGUGCAAGCGUUGUCCGGAUUCACUGGGUGUAAAGGGUGUGUAGGCGGGACAGUAUGUCAGAGGUGAAAGCCCACGGCUUAACCGUGGAAUUGCCUUUGAAACUGCUGUUCUUGAGUCUCGGAGAGGUCGCUGGAAUUCGUGGUGUAGCGGUGAAAUGCGUAGAUAUCACGAGGAACACCAGAGGCGUAGGCGGGCGACUGGACGAGAACUGACGCUGAGGCACGAAAGCGUGGGUAGCGAACAGGAUUAGAUACCCUGGUAGUCCACGCCGUAAACGAUGGAUGCUCGGUGUUGGCCCUCAUUGUAGGGUCGGCGCCUUAGCUAACGCGUUAAGCAUCCCACCUGGGGAGUACGCUCGCAAGAGUGAAACUCAAAGGAAUUGACGGGGGCCCGCACAAGCGGUGGAGCAUGUGGCUUAAUUCGAUGCAACGCGAAGAACCUUACCCAGGCUCGAACACGGCCGGACAACCUCUGAAAGGGGGU
Molecule: ribosomal RNA, 943 nt
Filed under: uncultured bacterium
Lineage: Bacteria
Description: bacterial SSU rRNA
Rfam family: Bacterial small subunit ribosomal RNA
Source: RNAcentral